UACGUAGGGUGCGAGCGUUAAUCGGAAUUACUGGGCGUAAAGCGUGCGCAGGCGGUUUUGUAAGCCAGGUGUGAAAUCCCCGGGCUCAACCUGGGAAUGGCAUUUGGGACUGCAAGGCUGGAGUGUGGCAGAGGAGACUGGAAUUCCUGGUGUAGCAGUGAAAUGCGUAGAGAUCGGGAGGAACACCAGUGGCGAAGGCGGCUACCUGGACCAGCACUGACACUGAGGCACGAAAGCGUGGGGAGCAAACAGG
This 253-nucleotide ribosomal RNA is filed under the name uncultured bacterium. Its description in RNAcentral is "partial 16S ribosomal RNA". It matches the Rfam family "Bacterial small subunit ribosomal RNA", at positions 524 to 776 of the family's 1533-position model. The record is from RNAcentral.